GAUGAAGAACGCAGCGAAAUGCGAAAAGUAAUGUGAAUUGCAGAAUUCAGUGAAUCAUCGAAUCUUUGAACGCACCUUGCGCUCCUUGGUAUUCCGAGGAGCAUGCCUGUUUGAGUGUCAUGAAAUUCUCAACCUUUUCAGCUUUCUUUGUUGAUCAGGCUUGGAUGUGGGAGUAUGCGGGCUUCUCAGAAGUCGGCUCUCCUGAAAUGCAUUAGCGGGACCUUUGUUGCCUGGCUUUGGUGUGAUAAUUAUCUACGCCAUUGUAGUCAAGCAGCUUAAAAUGAGGUUUCAGCUUCUAACCGUCUCCCCUGAGACAACUUUUUGACAAUUUGACCUCAAAUCAGGUAGGACUACCCGCUGAACUUAAGCAUAUCAAUAAGCGGAGGA
Molecule: unclassified non-coding RNA, 387 nt
Filed under: soil metagenome
Description: partial contains 5.8S ribosomal RNA, internal transcribed spacer 2, and large subunit ribosomal RNA
Rfam family: 5.8S ribosomal RNA (bases 1-120)
Source: RNAcentral